This 301-nucleotide ribosomal RNA is filed under the name uncultured bacterium. RNAcentral describes it as "partial 16S ribosomal RNA". It matches the Rfam family "Bacterial small subunit ribosomal RNA", at positions 509 to 807 of the family's 1533-position model. The record is from RNAcentral.
CAGCAGCCACUGUAAUACGAAGGGUGCAAGCGUUACUCGGAAUUACUGGGCGUAAAGCGUGCGUAGGUGGUGGUUUAAGUCCGUUGUGAAAGCCCUGGGCUCAACCUGGGAAUUGCAGUGGAUACUGGGUCACUAGAGUGUGGUAGAGGAUAGUGGAAUUUCCGGUGUAGCAGUGAAAUGCGUAGAGAUCGGAAGGAACAUCUGUGGCGAAGGCGACUAUCUGGGCCAACACUGACACUGAGGCACGAAAGCGUGGGGAGCAAACAGGAUUAGAUACCCCAGUAGUCCCUGUCUCUUAUAC